CCUACGGGAGGCAGCAGUGAGGAAUAUUGGUCAAUGGACGAGAGUCUGAACCCGCCAAGUAGCGUGAAGGAUGACUGCCCUAUGGGUUGUAAACUUCUUUUAUAUGGGAAUAAAACGUUCCACGUGUGGGAUUUUGUAUGUACCAUAUGAAUAAGGAUCGGCUAACUCCGUGCCAGCAGCCGCGGUAAUACGGAGGAUCCGAGCGUUAUCCGGAUUUAUUGGGUUUAAAGGGAGCGUAUGUGGAUUGUUAAGUCAGUUGUGAAAGUUUGCGGCUCAACCGUAAAAUUGCAGUUGAAACUGGCAGUCUUGAGUACAGUAGAGGUGGGCGGAAUUCGUGGUGUAGCGGUGAAAUGCUUAGAUAUCACGAAGAACUCCGAUUGCGAAGGCAGUUCACUGGACUGCAACUGACACUGAGGCUCGAAAGUGUGGGUAUCAAACAGGAUGAGAUACCCUAGUAGUC
This 460-nucleotide ribosomal RNA is filed under the name uncultured bacterium. RNAcentral describes it as "partial 16S ribosomal RNA". It matches the Rfam family "Bacterial small subunit ribosomal RNA", at positions 338 to 795 of the family's 1533-position model. The record is from RNAcentral.